ACGGGAGGCAGCAGUGAGGAAUAUUGGUCAAUGGAGGCAACACUGAACCAGCCAUCUCGCGUGAAGGAAUACGGCCCUACGGGUCUUAAACUUCUUUUAUAGGGGGAUAAAGUGAGCCACGUGUGGCUUUUUGUAGGUACCCUAUGAAUAAGCAUCGGCUAACUCCGUGCCAGCAGCCGCGGUAAUACGGAGGAUGCGAGCGUUAUCCGGAUUUAUUGGGUUUAAAGGGUGCGCAGGCGGCACGUUAAGUCAGCGGUGAAAUGCAGGGGCUCAACCCCGGCACUGCCGUUGAAACUGGCGAGCUCGAGUACGGAUGAGGUCGGCGGAAUGUGACGUGUAGCGGUGAAAUGCAUAGAUAUGUCACAGAACACCGAUUGCGAAGGCAGCCGGCCAAUCCGCAACUGACGCUCAUGCACGAAAGCGUGGGGAUCGAACAGGAUUAGAUACCCUGGUA
Molecule: ribosomal RNA, 454 nt
Filed under: uncultured Parabacteroides sp.
Lineage: Bacteria; Pseudomonadati; Bacteroidota; Bacteroidia; Bacteroidales; Tannerellaceae
Description: partial 16S ribosomal RNA
Rfam family: Bacterial small subunit ribosomal RNA
Source: RNAcentral